Molecule: ribosomal RNA, 405 nt
Filed under: Helix asemnis
Lineage: Eukaryota; Metazoa; Mollusca; Gastropoda; Stylommatophora; Helicidae
Description: partial 16S ribosomal RNA
Rfam family: Archaeal large subunit ribosomal RNA
Source: RNAcentral
AGCUAUAUGUAUUAAUAUAUAGUUAUUUCUGCUCAAUGAAUGUUAAAUAGCCGCAGUACCCUGACUGUGCAAAGGUAGCAUAAUCAGUUGGCUUAUAAUUGAAGUCUGGUAUGAAUGAAAAUAUGGGUAGAAGCUGUCUUAUUAUAUUUUUGUUAACUUGUUAAGCAAGUGAAAAUACUUGCAAUUAUAAAAAAGACGAGAAGACCCUAGAAACUUGGAAUAUUUUUUGUUGGGGCGACAUGAUUACAUAGAACUAAUCUCAUAUCACAUGACACAUAUAGUAAGAAUAAGUUACUCUAGGGAUAACAGCAUAAUUUUAAUAGUUUGUGACCUCGAUGUUGGACUAGGUAUUUUAUCCUUAAGACAAGGAUAUAAAAUGCUCUGUUCGAGCAGUGACACCUACAU